Bolinopsis microptera is the source of this 2621-nucleotide RNA transcript. It is a transcript of the gene named integrin-linked protein kinase-like, with no coding region annotated. Lineage: Eukaryota; Metazoa; Ctenophora; Tentaculata; Lobata; Bolinopsidae. The transcript has 6 exons. The record is from RefSeq and is a predicted model, not a curated record.
AGUUCUGUGGAUUACCACUUCUAGUAAGUUUUUAGAUUUCAUCUUUUCCGCAAAACUCCAUAUUUAACGUCUUUUAUUUGUAAAACCUACCUACCACUAAUAGUCGAGCAGCCAGGUACACCUAGUGUGCUACACUACUGUAAUAUAUUACUAAAAAUAAUUUGAAGCUCUGAUCAUGUUCUGAGUAGAAUUAGAAUUAGAAUAAGAAUAAGAAUUAAAUUUACACAGAAAUACAACAAGAAUAAUAAAUAAAUUAAAAAAGCUAGGAUUUUCAAAUCAGUUCAAAAAUUGUUACUGUAAUAAAUUAUUAAAAAGGCCGACAGUGAUCAUACUUGUAAAUCUCAUAUCUUAAUGAAUAGAUAAAUGUAACAGAUUUGUAGUGCUGUGAUUUAUAGUUUAAAAUUCAUUCAAGACGCAUCUGACUAAUUCCAAAUAGUCCAGAUAAUAUAGAUUACAGUAUUAUCUAAAACAUCUCCUGUUCCUCCAGGUCUGCACUGGGCGUGUAAACUAGGUAGACUAGACAUGGUGCACGUGCUGAUCUCGGCAGACAGCGACGUUAACUCACGUGCUUUUAACGGAAUGGUUCCACUACACAUGGCCGCGCAGUGUGGCCACGAGGAUGUAAUCGACCUGCUCAUCAAAGAAAAAGCAGACAAGUUGACUAGGGAUAAUAACGGCAAGUUACCAGCGUUCUACCUGCCGAGCAAGACUUCUGAUAGGAUAAAGGAGUUGUUAGCGCCCCCGCCUCCCCUCACUACCAAAGUCCGCAAUCACCCAGUCUCAAACGACAAACCAAACUUCUCCCUCCGUCGCCACAAACGAGAGAAAUCAGACACCACAUCCGACCACUACCACCGCUCCAAAACCCUGAACAACAACUUCAAAUACCAGUCACUAGGCAAACACUCCGGCUCCAACAAACGCCCCCUCAGUGGCAUCAGGAUAGACCACAUCACGCUAGAUGGAGGUGGAGAGACUGGUGCUACCAUGGUUAAAAGUAAGGAGGAAGCGCUGGAGUCGGUGUGCAGCAACUCUACCCUUUCACCACGCUCUGUAAAGAGGAUCUCCCUCGGAACACCUCUGUCAGUACUGUACGAUACUGAGCCCUUGUUGCUGCACCACGAGAGUAACAGUAAGGUUAGUAACCACGUGGGCUUUAUGGAGAUGGAGGAAGAAGUGGACGGGGGUUCCAGGGCUAGGAGGAGCAAGAGGAGGACUAGUCUACUGUGCUGCUGUCCCAGGAGGAGACGGCGGAAUAGUUUGUAACAGUGGUAAUUGGUAGAUAAUGACUUUAUAAUUGGGUGGUAAUGACUUUAUUAUUGGUUGAUGGGUUAAGUGGUGGAGGAUUUGGAGUUGCUGGGUCUUCGUUACUCACGAUUCAUUGAGGCUCUGAAAUCCUCAGGGACACAAUCAGAUAGACAUUGAAAUACUUUUGAUAACGGUAGAUGUAAAUGCUCAAUAUUUUAUGAAAUAUAUUUGGACGGUGUUGAAGACAAAGACACCGAAAUGAUUCUAUUAUGAAGACUAAAAAUCCUUAACUUGUAUCAAUAUGCACAAUUCGAUGAUGAUGAGAGAGGAAUGCGUGAUCUACUGCUGCUCAGCAGAAUCAGCUGAUAUCGGCUCAAGCAGAGUGGUACAAAAUUGGGGAAAUCACUCGAAACUUUGGAAGCGGGCUGAUAUUGUCAAGCGGGUGAGGUUGGAAGGAGAGGAGAUAAGUUUUACUGAUUUGGUAGAAGGAGGUGACCUCAGUGAGCAGCUACAUCUCAAAGAGUCUCUGGAAGUUUCACUCGGCCGGCCCUAACUCGGCGACCCUCCACCUCUUCCCUUGACGACACCAUCAAACGAACUCGCAGCAACAGCGAGACAGGAAGUGUCUCCAAAAACUCUAAGAAACAGUACAUGUCGGGUAUUAAAUUUAUCCGUUCUAGCUUCCGGUCAAAAAAGGGAGGUCGGCACGAAAAGGGCUCCCGCACUGGUUCUCCUGAUCUUUGCUCGCCGGAGACGCCGGUUAAAUUUGUGCGUCCUCGACCGUUUCUUAGCAACAAAUCAAACUCUCUCCCCCCACUUCCACCUCUAUCAAGAUCUUACAAAAACUUCAGAGCCUCAAUCAAAGUCAAAAAGACUAAAUCAGCAAGUGCUGUUGUUUGAAAGGGUCAAAAUGACUGCUAAUUCUAGGUGUAAAUUUAUUGUUUAGAAAGACAUUGUGUAGCUUCAAGCUUGUAUAUUAUUUCAUCAUGAGUUUUUCAUUUAGGAGGCGCAAUUUAUGUUUUCUUCUGUGCUUGCCAUUCUGAUGUGAUAAGUAAAUUUUAUCAUGACGGUAUCACUUUGACUUACUGUGUUCAAGAAUAUUCAGUUGAAAACGGUAAUUUUUAAAUACGCAUAAUAUUAAUUUAAAGUUGUGCUACCGCCCUACCGGUCAUUACAAAAUCUAACUUCAGUGUGCACUAUAGAUUAACUAUUACUAACUAUUAUACUACUGCAGAUUAACUAGAUUAAUUGUUAAUAGAUUUGUCAAUAUAUCAACAAAAUUUUAAAGUGUACUUUGUAAAUUAUUGGAUAUAGAUGUAAUAUUGAAUAUGUGAUAUUUUUCUUUCAUUAAAAUUAAACUUAAAGAUUGUCUU